UGGGGGGUCUCACCAGUGGACCUUCAAAUGCCUGUCUGCCUGUCAUGCUUCUGGCGCAGAUGACGACCAAUCGACAGGGAGGAAAACAUCACAGAGAAGAGCCCACAGCACUCGAUGUCUGUGUGUUUUUCUCCACAGGGAGAAAUAGGCCAGGAGGAUAUUCCAAGCAGAGGAAAGAGCAAAGAAGUGAGCUAAGCCCAAAUGCACACUGUUGUUGGAAGUACAUAAGUGAUAGGUGGGAGCCAUUUUGUUGAGUGGGUGGUGACUACCGGCCGUGAUCUCAUAGAACCACCAGGACUUCUCGUCUGGAAGGACAAGAAGUUGGACCAGGACCCACGUUCUUCUCCCUGUGCCACCCAGCAUCGGAUCACACCCCCAGGCAGAGCUCCUAGGCGUUUCCUGCCUCCUGUGUACAAUGGUGAGGAUUUAUUCUAUGCACAUCAGCCCAGCUUUUUGGGAGCAGACAAAACAACUCCCAAGAAAUUUCCCAGUUUGAAGAGCUUGGCUGUACUUACCACACGGUGAUGUUUGGGCACCACGGGCCCAUGGUUUCCAAAUUCCUGAGUGACUUUGGGUAUUUCAGUACUUUCUCCCUCUGAGGAAGCCAGGUUGUCUCCUCUCCAUUUGAUUUCUGCAGCUGGGUUUGCAUAGCUUGGCCCUGUGACUGGCCAGAAGCCCUCCACUCUUCCCCACUCAGCCAUGGAGCAAAGGGAAAGCCACAGACAUUUCCAGCAGAGUUCGUAGAGCCUUCAAAGGGGUUUUGCAUUUACCAAAGAGAUUCUUCGGAAUUUUGGAACGGCCAACAUGAAAUCAAUUCCUACAAGACUAACAAAUCAGGAGAGAAUGAGGAAAGAUGCCCAGAGAAAUGACCUUAGGUCAUUGCCAGAUCCUUAAAGUGCCUCCUGAAUCAUCAAAGAAAGAUUCCAUUACUGCCAAGAUGGUUAUAACGUCAGGUUCAAUUUAUUAUGUCUGGAUGCCUUGAAAAUUAAUCAUUUAAGUGAAUCAUUUAUAGGAGAAUAAAGAAGAGAUGACCUUGAAGAUCUAAAUCCAUGCUAUUUAGCCUUAAAGUCUGUAUGAGCUUCGAAGUCACUGAGUUUAGCGUCUCCAGAUGAAAAGAAUAGUUUCCAGAAAGAAAAAGACUUAUCUAAGGUAAUGUACCACCACUUGCUAAUUCUGGGUCAACUGCCUUUCCUCCACCAGCAUUGUUAUGCCUGUUCAUCUUAUUGAUAAAACUUUGUUUCAGUUCUGGAAAAGGCGCUUUCAUUUUUUUAAUGUUUAUUGAUUUUUGAGAGAGAGAGAGAGAGAGAGAGAGACAGAGCGUGAGUGGGCGAGCGGCAGAGGGAGACACAGAAUUUGAAGCCAGCUCCGAGUCCUGAGCUGUCAGCACGGUCUGACAUGGGGCUUGAACUCAUGAACCAUGAGAUCAUGACCUGAGCUGAAGUCGGACACUCCACCAACUGAGCCACCCAGGCGUCUCUGAAAAAGACACUUUUAAAGUUAACUCCUGAAUGCAAGUAAAUAAUGAAGAUUGGUUGGGGCAGCAUUGAAAAGUGGGCACUUAACGUAAUGGUGAGUGAGCAUUGCUCGCAGUCCCAGAAAUCUACUUCCUCUCCUGUCUCUGACUUGCACUCCGAUUUUGACAAUUCGUUUCAUCUUUCUAGACCUAGGGGUCCUCAUCUAUAAACUGAGGAGCUUGUAGUAGGUCGUUGCUUCUCAACGCAUUCGUCAGAGCCCCAGACGUUCCAUGGGUGCCUUGAGCCUUGAUGGCCUGGGGAAGGGGCUGAAAGAGGGAAAAGGAGGCAGGGCUCUGAGCCCUUCCUCUGCUUCUACCUGAGCAGACCCCUUGGGUCUGUUUUAUGUAUUUGGUUUUCAUGGAAGCUUUUAUCUCAACCACAAGAUUCUGUGGUUAAAUGUUUGAGAACCACUGGACUAAACUUCUCUAGCCUUUCUUUGGACAAAGUGUUUUUUCUGCCUCUCUGAUUAUAGAUGUUCUUUCAGAGACUGAUUUAGACAGGCUCAAAUUUAUAUGCUGUUGAGCUCUUUGGAGUUCCUAUAAAUUAGGAUGCACAUCGAGAUAAUUACCAUUCUGGAAUUCUAAGCACUUAAAUACAAGUCAAUCCUUAUAACCCCCUUUUAAACCAAUUGCCUCACUGCAGACAUGGUCACUGAAUAUAUAUUAUCGAUGCCAAUAAAACAGGAAACCCGAUCCUGCCAUUUUCCCCAUUAGAUAGUACAGAGGGGUUAAAGCCAGAAUCUCAGCCGUCAUUCUGACGGCAGGAUCUUGCUUCUCUGGACAGUCUAACUCUGGUUGUCAGGCCAGGCACAGGGGCAGACCCAACGCCUUCCAUCCCUUCGGCUCUGUAGAGUCAUGGAGUGGACCAGCUUGUAAUCCCUUGCUUUUGGGAAAGAAACUGGUUUUCUUCUGUGGCCAACUGUGUCUACCAAUCGCUAAAGGAAACAAUAGACCCAGGGCAAGCACUACUCUCAAGUGGUGGCACUGGGAGGGAGCAGGUCAGCGUCCGAGCCUGGCAUUAAGGCAGCCGAGGCCAGUGGUGGAGCCCAAAAGACCACAGAGAUGGCUUCUCCAGGGCACACCUGCUCUGAAAAGGAGUAUGGGGGCCCGGGGAACCGAGGCAGAGAAUGGUUUUAGGACUCUGUAGAAUCAGAACGAACUUCAUAGAAGAGCCUUAGAAAUGUUGUGGGGAAGCACAUGGAAAAACUAAAAGCCAGACAAGUGACACUCCUUGCUCAGGUCACCCUUAGGUCACAGUAUUUCACUUCUUCCAGUCUACACUGUGAGCCCUCAGGCCUCUCUCCACAGGGGCUGGGCACGUCAAUGAGGUAACUGACAGAGGAGUGUUUCCCCGAAGGCAAGGAGCCUUCGGGAAGGGAGGGUGAGGGGACGGCGUUUUCCCACCGGGAGCCAUUGCUCAACAGGCAACAGCCAGAACCCAGACCAAAUUCAUCACCAUGUGAGACUCUCAACCCCACCCCGGACUACUACGGACUCCAGAGAAUAGCCAGUGUGUGCGCGAAUUCCCUCCUGCCUCCCUUGGCUGUCCGCCUGAGCCAGUCUGUGCCCGUUAAGUUCAUCUUCAGUUAAAACUGUGACCACACCCCGAACCCUCAGUCCUUGGGCCACCUCUGUACUGAAGCGCUUGCUGUGCGUACCAGGGAUGGAGCAUCCUGCCCUUUCUGAGGUUGACAGGCUGUGACGAUUCUGAUAGGGACCGGGAAGUCACACAUAUCAUUUACUUCCGUAAAUAGUCAUCCCAUUAAUAAGCAUCCACCGAGAGAAGACGGUUCCUUUGCAGACUCCCAGGCCACAGGCUUCAGUUUCCGGAAAAUGCAGAUUGGGACAGCAGAUGAAAUAAAGCCAUCACCAGCCCAUAGGACAGUCUCAAGAGGAGUGACUGUCCCUGUCCUCUGCAGUUGUUGCCAGAGAGCAAUUUGCCCUUGAAUCCAAUCUACCAUCCCUAAACUGACAAUUUCAUUUCCCUCCCAGCCCACUCCCUGCCCCGAAGAUCUGCUGAAGCCGCGAGUUCCAGCUGAAGAGCCGGCAGGAUAAUAGUCUAUGUGGCGUCCAAGAUGGCUGCCCCGAAACUCCUGAAGUUACACGUCAAGGGAACCAGUGACAACAGAAGCACCAAUCUCCCUCUCAGUUCCAAAUUCCUGAGACAAGAUUGGGAUUGACUUUGUUUGGUCAGGUUGUUACUCCUGGUCCAAUCCUCUUGGCCAGAGGGGUGGAGUUACCUGGUGCAAGUAAGGUGUGUGUGUGGGGGGGUGUCCUCUCUGUGGUUAUAUGGAUGGGGUGAGUGUAUAUGGAGAGAAUUCCAGAGAAGAGCUGGGGAAGCUAGUAGUUCCUGGGCUGGAUAGGCAUCUCAUACGUGUCCAUCAUACUCGCUUGGGUUAUCUAAUGCUGCGUGACAAAGUACCCCAAAUUUCAGAGGCUUAACACAACCAUUUAUUAUGCUCACUGAUCUCUGGGUCAGGAAUUCUAAUAGGGCACAGAGAGGAUGGCUUAUUUUUGCUUCAUAGUGUUUGGAGCCUUAGCUGCCGGACUCCAAGCUUGGGGCUAUAAUCAUCUGAAGGCUUGUUUGGUCAAGAUUUGGAUAAGUAGGGGCGGCUGAUGCUGGCUGAGGGGGGUCUCAGUUCCUCUCCACAUGGGCUGCUUGGGCUCCCUCACAGCAUGGUGGCUGGGUUCCCAGGGCAGGCAUCCGAAGAGAAAGGCAGGCUGAAGCCUCAUCAUCUUUUCAACCUGGCCUUAAGAGUCACCCAGCAUGGCUUCUGUACGUUGUAUUCAGUAGCUUUCGUUAGAAGGGAGUCAUUAAACCUGACUCAUGUUCAGGGGUGCCUGCGUGGCUCAGGCAGUUAAGUGUCUGACUUUGGCUCGGGUCAUGAGCUCAUGGUUUGUGAGUCUCAGCCUCGCGUUGGGCUCUAUGCUGACAGCUCAGAGCCUGGAGCCUGCUUCAGAUUCUGUGUCUCUGCCCCUCUCCCACUCAUGCUCUGUCUCUGUCUCUCUCUCAAAAAUAAAUAAACAUUAAAAAGAUAAUUAUAAAAAACUUGACUCUUGUUCAAAAGACAAGGGAAAUUAAGCUCAACCUUAUAAUGAGAGGAGAGGCAAGUUUCUAGAAAACAGAAUGUGACUAGAAAUAUUGCUGGGGGCUUUUGGGGGGCAAAUACAACUUGCCACAAUAUUUAUAAUAGUUUCCAUUGCACUUGAAGAGACCUUUAUAAGUAAGAAGCUGAAAGGCCACCUCCAGAGUUGUAAGCUAGCUUAUGGGUUUCCCAAACCAUUUUGGCUCAUGGUGCCCAUAGACCAAAAGAAAUACCUAACAGUUCUGUUUAUUAAGUAGUUCUAGCCAAUAACUUAAUAAUCAUUUAUCUCCUAACAAAUUAGUACCCACCUGAAAUAAUCAUACCCAUAAAUUGAAAGUAAAAGAACCAUUUUUAUCUCAUUCUUGAAUAAAUACAGCGAACGGCAUGUGAGCCUUUUGGGUGCUAUGCAGCUUCUCUGAUCCUGGCAUCUGAUUGGACACUAACAUCUUCGUUUCCUGUCUCACAGUGACUUUCACACUUCAUCUGCCUGUUAUCACUGAACCCCCAAACCCCGCUUUGCGAGGAUAAGAUGUCGUUGAAAGGAAUGUAGCACAAUCUACUGUUGCAGGAAGGAACGACCACAAAGCACGUGGUUUGUGUGAUGUCUAACGGAUGUCAGGAACUGCUCCAAGAUACAAAAUACUCUUCAGUGCUUCCCUGAGUUUGCUGUGGGCCUCGGGGUACCUCAACCCACAGUUCGGGAAUCGUGGGCUUAAACACAGAAGGUCCAGAAUUAGGGACCUACUGAUAAUGCCAAAGGGGCAGCUUCUUAAGAUUUCCAACUUCCUAACAAGGGCAUUCAGAUUUCAAAUGUUUAGGCGACUCCGAAGUUGAGUAAUUCAGAAUCUGUGUAGUUAAGCUAACUUGUUGAAACCGAUGAAUUUUAAGGAACCACUUUGGUUCUCUUUCCUGGGUAACAGAUGAGAAACAAGGAGAUCUCCUCCCUUCAGCCUCAGGGAUGCUGGAGCAAUGAGUUGCAGGUUGUCUUCAAGACAUUGACACUUGCCCUGGAGAGUCAUUCGUGGAGAUCGAGGGAAUGACAUAAUACGCAGGGAACGCAUCUAUGCCACCAGAGUUUCCCAUGUCAGCCCACGCUGGUCAAGAAAGGCAGAGAAUAGUUUCAUUCCAAGCUUAAGCCAACAUUCUUGCCACUACACCAGGGCGCUGCCCAAUAUGACGGGAAAUAUUACAUGAAUGGUAAAAAUGUGAGCUAAGCCCACCCCAUCUCCAAACCCAAAAAGCUUCCGAGACCCCUGAAGUUAAAUGGAACUAAAUCAUCGACACAGUCUCCAAAGCAACUUCUUAUUUAUUUCAGAACUUUCUAUGUGACCCCAAUCAGGUCAUUUUCUAGCUCUUUGUUUCCUUAAAUGGAGCACUGUGGAAGAAGAAGUCACUGUUUUUCUCUAAAGCUACUUAGCAAAUUGCGAAUGAAAGAGAAAAUACACAUGCAACUAAGAGUUUGUCACCUUGCUGAACUAAAAAAUAUGGCCCAGUUUCACUUUCUCGUCCCUCUCUCUCUCUCUCUCUCUCUGUUUCUCAUAAUUCUCAGCCAAGACAAUAGGAGUCAUGUGAUGUGACCGAGAAAUUGGGCCAGUUAAAAAUAGAAGGCGCACUCCACCAAGUUCAUUACAAAGUUGAAGUCUUAUUGUUGAUUGCCGUUAAUUUAUCUCUGCCUGCCACAUGUGUGAGGGAGCAGGGCGACAGACAAUUGGUGACUCUGAGAGCCGGAGCCCCCAGCCCCCCGCUUCCCCUCCUGCCCCAGCUGAGCAGCAUCACCCCCGUGAACUCACCUGGGCCCCGAUAAUACCCUCCGCCCAGCCCCCAGGCCCUGUCUCCUCCAGGAGCCGUUUUAGCUGUGAAACAGUUCUGGCUGCCUUCUCCUCUCUCUCAAUGGGGGUGCUCAGCACCCACCUUUGUAAACGGGGGUGCACUUCCCGGGCUUUAUAGUCAUCUCAUUGAAAGGGCUAUUCUUACCCCUAUUUUGUAGCCGAGCAGAUUGAGGCCCUGAGGGGUGGGGGGGCGGCUGGAGCUGGAAGCCUCUCUUUUUCGGUUGGGUGAUGGGUUACGUGGGUCCCUCUCCUAAAGCGUUGGGAGCAUGGUAUGCACUGGACGCCUGUACCCUCCCCGUGGCCAGUGCUGGAGUCGGGGAGGGGUAAGUUAGGGCCGCCGCCAUUCGUCCCGAUGGUGAGUUAGCAGCGGUGGGGUUCACACAUCGUUUCCCUCUGGGUUGGGCCAGCCGAGUCACAGACGCGGGAGUGGGCCGACGGAGGUUCAAGUCUCAGCCUUAUUGCUGCUCAGGUUGGCUUGCGGGGCCCGGCUCAGCCCUCUGGCCUCUGGUUUCGAACACCCUUGUCCCAAGUUUCUACUUCAAGACCCACCUGAGGAAGAGCGUGAUGUUUUCCCAUUUGCGGCCUCGUCUCGUCAAAAUCAAACCCACGGGUGGGGGGGCCUCAGUGCUGAGUACGGGAGGCAGGCCAGACCCUGACCUUGAGCAUUCAGUGUCACCCCGACAAACACCCCGGGGAAUGCAGGCGAUGACACCAGCGUCCAGGCUGGCCCAGACGAGGGCCGAAAGGUAAUUCUCCUCCUCACCCUUUUGGGAGGGAUGAGCAGAGAGGGAGGGGGCCCAGGUCUUAGCGCCUCUGUUCUCCCUCUUCAGAGAGGGUGCACAGGGUAGGGGCUCUCAGCUGUGUGGCCUGAUGUCUCCUGCCUCCCAGCGCACCGCACAGGGUGUGCACGGUGUGGUUUGAAUGCGAGCUGCGGAGGAGGGUCCCAAACCUUGAGCGACUCGCAAAAAGUGGGCUUCUCAGCAUUGUCUGGGGCCGUGGAAAGCUGAGGGGCCCUUCCCACGCAGGGAAGGUGCUUUGUCGGAGAGCAGCCUGGCACACCUGCCCUCCAGGCGGGUGUUAAACCUCAGCUAACCUCAGGGCCACCCUGCCCACCUGGUGUCUCCUGGGGUGACUUCUGUCCUCCGAGGGCAGCUGGCAAAAGGAGGACUGUGGGGCAGGGGUUCCCGUGGGGAGGCUGGGAGGAGCUGCUCACUUGUGGAGUGUUGAGAUAUGCCUGCCGCCGGCUCCCCCCGCUGCCUGGAAACAGGGCUGGCCCAGCUUCGAUUAGAAGGUCUGGGAAGGCGGUGAUCUGCACCGAAGGGGGGUAGAGAACAGAACCUUGAGGGAAUCACCAGGAGAUUCUUUGUCUUUUUUUUUUUUUUAUAAAAAGCUUUUUUUGGGUACAGUGUAUUUAUUUGUUUUGAGAGGGAGAGAGAGAAACAGCACCAAUCGGGGACAGGGAGAGAGAGGGAGAGAGAGAGAAUCCCAAGCAGGCUCCACGCUGUCAGUGCAGAGCCUGAGGUGGGGUUCAAACUCUUGAGCAGUGAGAUCAUGACCUGAGCCAUAACCAAGAGUUGGAUGCUCAUCUGACUGAGCCACCCAGGCGUCCCCUAGCCCAGUUUCUAUCAGAAGGUGUGGGAAGGGUGUGUUCUAGACUGAAUGGGGGUAGGGAACAGAAUCUUGAGGGUGUUGCCAGGAGAUUGUGGGAUCUCUCUCCCCUUUUUGCUUUUACUGCUCUUUGUAGAUUCUUCUCCUCUGCCCAUUUCUAAGACCUGGGGGCUCUGCUGCCUCUCCAGUAACUGCCAACUCCACCCACCUCCUCCCUCCCCUCCAUCUCCCCCUGCCCUUCUCUUCUCGCAUAGACCUCAGGGCAGCAGAGCCCGAUGCCAAGGUAGGACAGGGUCUUAGAGCCCUGGUCUGGUCUCCAAAUUUCAUAAGUGAGAAAACUGAGGCUAAGAGCAGAAAAGAGACUCCUUGGACGUUCCCGGUAUAUGUUGACAGAUCCAAAAUGAAUUCAUAGAAACUACAUUUCUGUGUAGCCUGGAAGAAGUGUUUUCUGAGACACGGUCUCCUUCUAUCCAAGGCAAUGUUCGUGGGGUGGUCCUAGCCAACCUACGGGACGCGUGACACGUAUCAUAGGGGGUCGGGGCUGGAAUGUUGCUUUACCUGUUCCAUGGGGAUACUCGCUUGUCUGAGUCUCAGGAUUGUCCCCAGUGAUGACAGAGUUCAUAUAUGGAAAAGGGCCGAUGUAAUGCCAAGUGCACCGUGCACCCUAAACAUCGUUCACUCACUUCUAUGGAGAAGCAGAGGUCGGUAGUUAGAGUAUGGGUUCUAGAGCUAGAUCACCUGGGUUCUGACCCUAGCUCUGCAGUUUACUGCAUGGCCUUCGGCAAGUUAUUAUUAUUUUUUUUUUUACCUCUCUGGGCCUCAAAUUUCCUGUCUAUGAAGUGAAGAUAACAAUCAUACCAUUCUGUAGGGUUGGUGGAGGGUAGAAUGAAGAUUCAGUGAAUUAAGCACCAAGAAGAGUACAUCGUACCUCAGUACUCACUGUUAGCUGUAUAAUAAACGUUUCCGUCAACAAAGCAUGAUUGUUAUCACUGUGAUUGUUUCCCCGUCUUCCAGAACCUCAGGGCCCUUGGUAAUGAAGAAGUCAGAGUACCCACAGAAAGGCAGGGUUCACGAAUAAUUCCCCCUGCUUACAAUCAUUGGGGAUGUCCGGGGGAGAUAUGGAACAACUACUUCUCCUGGGAUGCUGAAAAAGGGUUCCUGCAUGGUAAGAGAAACUAGCAUUGACAUCCCCUUCAAAGACUCCACGCUUCAAGACAGCACUGUGAAUUUUGAGGGCACUUAAAGAAACGUGCAGAAAGAUACUGCAACUUCUUAAGAAGAUGCUGAUCUCUGCCUUUUCCCACUCAUUCGUUCAGUGCUUGCAGAACACCUUCUACGUGGCAGACGUUGCUGGGGACCGACAGUGGAUUAAGUAUGGUCUCUACCUCCAGGAGAGACAGACACAAUAAGCCCGUGUUUUCAGGGCAGCUUGUUGCGUACAAUGAGUCUACGUGGGGCGCUAUAUGACAAAGGGGAUGUUGUGGCUACUUUGGGAGAGUUCCACCAAAGAAGUCUUCAGAGAAGGAAAACAUUCGCCUUGGGUCUUGCGAGUCAGAUGAGUGGGAGUGCCCCCGACAGCUAAGAGGCACAGACAUUCUCAGCACAGGGAACACCAUCUUCUCUUUUCCUUCCUGACAGCCUCGUGAAACAGAGAACAGAAUGGCGUGUAGCUGUUUUGUAAAAUGGGAAAGGUUACUGACGGAUCAACUGGUGAGCCUCCGAAGUUGCAAGAGUCCUCUGACCCCUGCCCUGGGACUCGCCACCAUAUCUGAGUUACUCUAUUAACAAUUACCAACCUUAAGGUUCAUGCCUAAUACCCAUCAUCCUUCCCUGACUGGGGACUUACCAGUUGAGGUGAUCCCUCUAUUUUUGAAAUGCAGAUCAAAUGGACAAAGCUUAUUUCCAUCUCUGCCUCAUCUUUUAUAAAUAUCAAGGAAUGCCCCAACAUUGCCCCCAUCCCACUCCCAACUCCGACCCACUCAAAUCAAAAGAGGAGUUCAAAACCUCAACCUUGAAAAGCUUCUGGAAUCCAAUAGGCUCUGCCUUGCUUGCCUCAUCACAUCCAUUCCCACAGCACGGGCAAGUCAGGUAUGAGUUUCAGUUUACAUGGGCCCCAGCAUUGAAGGCUGAGUGCCCACCAAGUACCUCUGUGAGGGCAAGGCCCAGGAGUGACGCAUGGCGACAGCCACCUACCACGUCCAGCCUGUGUGGUUAUGGGAGAAAGGAGGACUUCAGGUGGCAGAAUUAUAAGGAGUGGGGAGAAGGCAGAGCCUCAGGCAUUGGAUGUCCCGCGGGCCCUGUAGAGGGUUGACUGAACCACUCGCCCUGAUCCCGUGGCUCUAGAGCUGUGCCCACAUAGCUCAGCACACACCGAGGUCUUCAGCCUGGUGAAGCAGAAAGAGCAGGGGAUUGGGAGUCACUGAGACCUGGGCUAGAAGCAUGGUGGUGGCUCUACUUAGCUGUGUGGCUCUACAUACAAUGGGGCUAAUCAAACUUAACUCAGAAGGUGGCGUGGAUUAAACAGGAGGAUGAGAGUAAGAAUCCAGGCCUGGUGUUAGCUACAAACACAUACAGGGUGAUCAGCAGAUGUUAAUAUGUCAGACAACCGGCAUGUAUUGAGCACCUGCUAAGACUUCCAUCUUGAACUGAUGGUCUUUAACCAUCAUCGUUCAACCUGACAUUAUUCAUUCACUCAACAAACAUUUAUUUGAGAUGAACUCUAUGUCAAGCCCUGAGAUUUGUGCUGGGGAUGCCGACAAGGAUAAGAUGGAUAAGUGUCCCUGUGGAAUGCCUACACCAUAUACUGUCUGCAGCUUUGUCUAUAAGGUUGAAAUAUCGGAAACAACCCAAGGCCCAACAAUAAGGGAAUGGUUAAGUAGAUGGAAAAGAAGCCUUGUUAUAGGAUCAUGUUGCCAAGUAUUUUUGUUAUAAUAGUAACUGAAGCAAGCAGGAAAGGAGAAGUUUUUAAACGUUUUUUUUAUUUAUUGAGAGAGAGAGAGAGAGAGCAAGCACGGAGGUGGGGCAGAGAGAGAGGGAGAGAGGGAAUCCCAAGCAACUCUGUGCUAUCAGCGAGGAGCCCAAUGUGGGGCUCGAACUCAUGAGCCGUGAGAUCAUGACCUGAGCUGAAACCAAGAGUCGGAUGCUUAACCGACUGAGCCAACCCAGGUGCCCCAGGAAAUGAAAUUUUAAGUACAAUUGGUCCUCAAUAUUCAUGGCAGUGUUCUACAAAGUCACUUCAAACACUGACUCAGUGAACAGGACCAUUGUUCUUAGGAGAAAUACAUGGUUAGGUUCCUGUGAGCUUCUGUUUAUAGCAUUUUUGUCAACUGACAAAUUCCUAUUCUUAUUUUAUGUGUGUUUCUGUUUAAAGACACUUUAUUUGAUAUCUAUUGUUGAUUCAUCAACAUAGAACUCAUGGCCAACAGCGCUAUGGCCCCUGCCCUAAUGAAGCUUUUCUAACACAUGUACUUUUUCUUAUAAGACACAUCACAGCUUCCUGGCUCUUGAGAACACUUGCAGCAUUAUGGCGGGGGGCUAUUUUAAACAGUGAAAUCACCAACAGGAAGCACACAAAUACAAAAAACAUUGCGCUAAAUAGAUUGGCAAGAGGCCAUUUGUUUACAGUAUGGAGCUGAAACAAGAAGGCAGAGACUCUCUGUGUUUUGCCUUGGCUGGGAACCCGGAUGUGGGGUCACUCAAACUCGUCACUUUGUGCAUGUCAGUGAAUGACCAUGAAAGUUCUUUGAGCAUCGGUUUUGAGGUUACAGAUGCAUUUUAGUGAGUAGGGAAAUUUGCAAAUAAGGAGUCCAUAGAGGGUGGGCAUGUGAAUAAUGUAGGACAUCGCAUUAGUAUCGAUGCAUUUCUGUUUUGUUUUGUUUUUUAAGUUUAUUUGUUUUGAGAAGAGAGAGGGAGAGAGAGAGAGAAUCCCAAACGGGCUGCGUGUUAGUGGCACAGAGCCUGUCACGGGGCUCAACCCCACAAACCGUGACAUCAUGACCAGAGCUGAAACCAAGAUUUGGAUGCUUAGCUGACUGAGCCACCCAGGUGUCCUGAUGCUUCUCUGUUUUAAAAUUUUUGUUAAUGUGAUCCAGUUGGGUUUUGUCCCCUACAUUUAAACAUAAAUACGCCUCAGAGAAAAUGAACGUGCAGCCUGCAUGUCGCCUCCUAAACCCUCCCUCUCCACCUACUUUGUCUCCUCAGCUUGGUCAGCGGGCUCAGAGAUGGUGGGAAUGAGGCGUCAAGGUCAGUAGCUCCCAGCCUGGGCAAUUCCACAGCGACUGAAGUUUCUGGAGUGGCAGUAAGGCCAGCCACAAAUGCUUGUAACUGCUGUCCCGUGUAGCUGCCGUCCCGCCCUGACGCAGGACCCCUCACUAGAGAACAGCACUGGGCAGUUUCUCUCAGGUUGUGAUCCUGUCCUCUCUGCAUGGCUCCCAGGAACUCAGCCCCGUCAGAAACUCCCAUUUUCCUGUGCUUUGACGCUAAUUAAAGGUCUUCCUAAAACUUGGACUCUUUGGAAGAAGGAUUGAAUAUUCCUUUGAUUCAAUAUGUCUGUGAUGGAAAUAUUUAGAAUUAUUGCUCUAAAUAAUGUAAAAGGCACCCUUUUCUAUUCUUUUUUAAAGUUAUUUGUCAAGAAGCCAGCUUACCUGUUGACGGGACCUCGUAUGCUCCAUUGGAUUAUUCUAGGGGUCCAUUUGAAGGGAAAGAUCCAGAAACAUCUUCAUCAAUACUUGCAGAGGCUAGGAGCAGUAUCGUCCUAAUUCCUGACUAUGGGGGCAGGAAAUUCCAGGCCACAAAGGUUGCUAACAUUUUUACCUGAUUUGCCUCCGGAUUUAAAGCAGAGGGAGUUUCCAGAAAGUAUGGGCAUGGCUCCAAGGUGCCAAAUGGAUUCACUCAAAUGGUUGUUUAUUCCCUUGGCAUCGAAGGUGCGAGAAGUACGUUUCGAAGCGCCCACUGUGUGCCAAACCCCGACCUGGAUGCUUUGUCGAUCUCGUGUAAUCUUUUUUUAUCAAUAUUUUUUUUUAAGUUUAUUUAUUUAUUUUGAGAGAGAGAGAGAGAGGGGGAGGGAGAGAGAGAGAAUCCCAAAGAGGCCCCACACCCAGCACAGAGCCCGACACAGGGCUUGAGCUCAUGAAUGUGAAAUCAUGACCUGAGCUGAAACCAAGAGUCAGACACUUAACCGACUGAGCCACCUGGGUGCCCCUCUCCUAUAAUCUUUAAGUGAUGUUACAAAGUGGACAUGAAGAAUUUCCCUGUUUAUGGGGCACUUGGGUGGCUUCGUCGGUUAAGCAUCUGACUGCAGCUCAGGUCAAGAGCUCACAGUUUGUGGGUUCGGGCCCCGAGUCGGGCUCUGUGCUGACAGCUCGAGCCUGGAGCCUGCUUCAGAUUCUGUCUCUCCCUCUCUCUCCGGCCCUGCCCUGCUUGUGCUCUCUCUCUUUCUCUCUCAAAAAUAAAUACAGUUUUAAAGAAUAAUAAACAAACAAAUAAAUGCAAGAAGCUCCCUGUUCCAAUGAGACGGCACAAGAGAAGUUGUAACUUACCAGCUACAUGGCUGAGCUGGUAUUAAACCGGGUGUGUCAGUCUUUGUGGCUUUUCCGUUGGGUCACACUUCUCAGAAGCUCUGGAAUCACCAUGCAGGGGAGAUGGUGCCCCUGAAAGCCCACCAAGGAGGGAGGGGGAUUAAGGCUGGUCCGGUCAAGCUAGGGCAGAGGUGGCGGUGCCCCAGCGGUCUCGGGUCAAAUGAAGCCUGAUCCUUUCGUAGCUUGAUUUGGCCUCGAACUGGGAAACAGAUGGGUCUGGGCUGCCUGAGGGUCUGGGGGAGGCUGAGCAGACAAAUGGGUCCUGGCUGCAAUUGCUCCUGCCCUGAGGGUCCGGGGCUGGGGGCUGCUUUGGGAAGGGGACCCCAGUGCCUAUGUACCUUUUGACUUGUAAAACCUUGGAUAGCAAUUCAUCUGUGAGGCUGCAAGGCUAGAGAGCUCACCCUUUCUGAGGGCAGCCGACUGGGAGACCUGAGGCAAGUUCAGGGAGGUAAGGCAGAUGUCAACAGGUGUGUUCAAAACAAGGUGGCUUGUUGCCCAAAAAGAAGACCCCAAGGGCCACGGAAAGAUGCCUAAUGGACUUCAUGCUCUUUCAACCGCAGACUCAUCCUUUUGCAAUGCCGGUUAGUGGGGUUGUUUCGAAGAGAUGUGGGGUUGCCUAGCUGUGGGAAUGCCCUGAAAUUGGAUAAGCGGGGACCCAGCUCACAAGCGUGGAAUGAAUGAAUCGAUGAAUGGAAACUUGGACACUGAUUCACUCACUACUCACUUAUCAAUAGGAAGGCCAACCAUCUGGUUUGCCUAGGACCCAGUUGUUUCCUGGGACGUGGGACUUUCAGUCCUAAAAUGAGGAACGUCCUGGGCACACCAGAACUAGAUGGUCCCCCAGGUACUGAGAACUGAUGAUGGACCAGACCCUGGGCCCUGACGGGGCAUAUGGGGCUAAAUCGGACGCAGUCCCUGCUCUCAAGGAGUCCACGUGUAGUCGGGAGAGAUAAAUAUGACACGAUAGGGUCACGUUCAAGAGCAAGGCUGUGGAGUCAGAAGCACCAUGAUGGCUUUUAAGAGGAGGAGCAGGUGCCAGAGGCGAGUCUUGCUGGGGGAGGAGCCCAACAAAUCUCUGGAGAAGCUUGGGAAGAAGGGCUUUGGGACCCAGGGACAGCUGGGACAAAGGCCUAGGGUCUACAACAAUGUGUUGCCGCAAGAAGCAGGGGGCACCAUGUGUAUGCGUUUGUGUGUGUGUCGGGGACAAAUGGGGGAACACAGGGGUGAUGGUGAGGUUGGAGUGGUCUCGGAGGGGCCAGGGGACAAGUUGUCGACCGUGUGAAGAAAAAUGAAAUUUAUACUGUAGGCAAUAGGGAGCUACUGAAGGCGUUUUAAGCCGGAGAGAUAGAAUCCAAUAUUACAAAACGUUUCAUCCGUUCAGCAAAUGUUUGCUAAGCGCCUACUGGGUGUUAGGCAUUGUGCUAGGGGAGCGAAUGCAUGCUUGCAGGCAUGGCUGUCUGCCAAAAAGUUUCUUUUUAAUUUUCCAGUUGCCGAGAGGGUCCUUGAAAUCCAGGGCCUGGCUGAUAGGACGUUCGGGCCUGUUGGCCUCUGUCAGAAAAAUUGUUCCGCAGUGAGCAAAUCUAAGGAGGAGACCGCCGGCACCAACUCCAACCUCCGCCCCUUAUCUGUUUUUCUUUUUCCGAAAGACCUUGAGGACUGCAGCGGAUUCCACUGCAAAACGGUUACACAAUUUCCCCCCAGAGAAAGCGAGCUUCCACCUUAGGGGAUGAAUAAGCCCUUUCUUUUCUGGAGAGCCGGCCAAUGGAGGCCCCGGGCUGGGUACUGCAGGAGGCACGGUGCGGGGGGACAGCAGGCCUCGCUCUACUUUGGGGGUGCCGGUGUUGUCAUUAAACAGAGUCUGCACGGCAGAGGCGGGGGCUGCCGGCGCCCCGGGGAGGCCGACACGGCAGGGAACGGGGGUCAGCCUGCAGCAAGCGGGCGGCCCCCCAAUUCCGCGCGGCCCAAGCAUCCAUUUUUCCGGGACUGCGGGUCCUAUAAAUGGUGCCUUUGAGGAGAGCUGCCCUGGUGACAGCAGGUCCCUCCCUGCAGCACCCACUCGGCCACGGGAUUCUGAAAGCUGAUUGUCCCUCCUCAAGCCCUGCCCUCCUGCGACAUUGCUCACGCUGACCAUUGUCCGCAGAAAGAGGCCAUUGUCUGGGGCUUACAUACCUGCUGACAGAGGCACAUGAAACCAGCAGAGCUUUGGGGAGACAGAAAUCCACCCAAAACAACAAAAAAAACCUGAGCCUAGCCGGAGGGCAGAGUUUAGACGGGGCUUGUUGAAUUUCCUGAUCUGCUGGUGUUCUUUCCAAGAGGAAAUGCCCCCCAUUAUGGGAGGAUCAGAGUUUUAUCUCUGGGCUGGAAUGACACCAUUUGUGCCUUUGUGUCAACAGCACAGAGGGGCAUUGUUUAGGGUUAUGUGGCCGGCGCUGGGAAGGGCUUGUUUGAAGAGAAAAAAAGAGAAAACCCAGAACAAUGUUUACCCAGCAGGCAGCUCCUGCCAAAGCAGCCGCCACCCCGUGCACUGGGAUGUCAGCUGGCCCGCCCGGGCCCCCUCGGCUGUGCCUCGGCCUCGAGUGCAGCCGCGCGGGCAGCUGGCGGGGACAGGUACGCGGUGCCAGCGCCUAAAGCACCAAUACCCAGCACCGCCCCUGAUCCAGAGCCGAAGGGCUAUUGAGCACCUGGCCGGGCCACUCAGGUUUGAGUAGAGGGAGCCUGGACACCGCCUCUCAGUGGAGGAAUGUGACCAUCCCACGGCAGGGAGAGCAUCCGGGAAGGAGACGCGCUGAUGUGGCCAUCGUUGGGGAAUAGAACUUCUCACAAUUAAAUCUCAGUACGAACUGUUAAGAUGGUCAAUGAAGCUACAAUCAUUUCAGCUGGGAGUCCUUUAUUGUUGCACUAAAGUAAAAAAAAAAAAAAAAAAAAAUCUUGGCUACAUGGUGCACAACCGUCUGACCCCGUAUAGCACUUCUCGGGUUUCAAAAGCCACUUUGUUCGCCGCUCACAAUUUCCCGGUGGGGAUCAUCACCCCCGUUUUACAGCCAUGGAAACUGAAGUCUAGAAGGGAAUAAAGAAUUUCUGCAGUGUCAGCACCUCGUGGACUGGGGAACAGAUCUAAAUAUUCUGCUUCAAUCCCAGAGGGCUGUCUUCUCCUCCACGUCGCCACUUACUGUGAUUACAACCCCCCAGGGGUCACAUUCCACACCCAGAAAAUUGUAACACUGACCCAAAAGAACCAGUUUUUGUUUUUUUGUUUUUGUCAGCUCUCAAAUUUUUUUUGUGGGACCCUUUAAAAAGCUCACAAGCUGGAUCCUGGAGCUAUGGAGCCUGGCCAAUAAGAUGAUUCUGAUUGCACAGAGCCUAGUGCUUUCUCAGUGAAAAGGGUCCCCCAAGUCCCUAUGGUUGUGUCGUCAGAGCUGGAGCCAUGAAGAGAAGCCAUUCCUCAUUACGAAGUGUUUUUUCGGGCCAAGGGUACACACUUGUCCUGCUCUAAAUGCUGUUGCUGGCAGGGACCUUUGCCACUCAGUCAACGGACUGAGUCCAGGAGGAUGACCGAAUAAUCCGGGAGGCUCUGAAUUCGCCAUCAUUAAUUCAGAUGGUCCAAUUCUGGUCAUCAGUUCAGGUUGAUCUGAAAUACCAGUGGGCCAGAGAGUGUGAUGAGGGAAAAACUCUUACGGAGAAGAAAAUGGGCCAGGGAAAUGGACUUGCUUAAGCCCAGUCGUGGAAGGAGUUUGGGGUAGAGAAGGCCACUCACGUCAUUAAAAAGCCCAUGGUGUGGCAGAGGCUCUGAUGAAUUUCAUCUGGCCAGUCCAACAUCUUUUCAAGGGGAGCUUGAACUCCAUUUCAUAGAUUGGACCCCUUGGGCUGAAAUAGGCCAAUAUUUGCCCAAAGAGAGCCGGUGACAGGAACCCAGUGCUGCCUAAUUCCAAGGCUCUGCUAUGUCUUCCUGCCGUUGCGAUGGAGAGACAUGCUUACGAUUUUUUGGAGGAAAUUAGCAGCAUGUUUUGAGGUUUGUGCUUGGAAUACCAGCAGGCUUAAGGAGAUUGCAGGAGCAAUGUCUUUUAGGAUUUUCCAUUUGCAGAAGCCACAAUCCUAUAACAAACAGUCGGUAUGAAAGAACUGGAGAGAAGUAAAUUAAGGGCUUACAAGAAGCAAUCAAGCCUUUGUCUAGAGUAGUGGAGCCAAGAACCCAGUUGGCUAACAAAUCCUCGUGGAGCACCUACCUACUCCGUGCAGGGGUCCCUGAGGGAUGAUAACCUCUCAGGUUUGGGUCCUCCGGUGCAGACAGGCACGGAAGUGGAUAGAAGGAGCUCUGGCCUACGAGUCAGAAGAUCAGAAUUUGCAAACUUCUCUUCCUCUCCCUGGCUGCGUGGCCUCGGACAAAUGAAUGCACCUCUCUGAGCCUCGGUUACCAUUUUGUAAGAUGGAGAUGCUAAUUCUUGCUCAAGCCACCUUCGGGCUCGACACGCCUGUGGAUCCCCGCGGAACUACGGCAUGCGGUAAACUACUAUCCUCUUUAUGACUGUCCCUUUGGCAGACCCAGUCUGCGGGGGAAGAGAUGAGGAAGCGAGGCCCGGACUUUGGAGAAUCCGAACCUGAGCAGCCUGGGUCCUCCAGGCUGAGCAGUCUCCUCUCAAAACUGAUGAAAACAGAAUGGGUUUCGAUUUGCCACAUGUCUUUCAAUCUUCCAAGGAAGGAUGGAAGAAAGGAGGUUGGCUGAUAAUCGAGCCUGGUGCCUGCUGACCUUGGGUGAGACUGUGGAGCCAUGGCACCUCCCCCACACUGCCAUCACCUCGGGAAACCAGCUGGAGUGUCAAAAAUCAGAAGAUGCUCACAGUUAGUGGGCCAGCCAUUCUCCUCUUUGGCAAAUAAGUGGAGAUACCCUUGUACACAUGCAGAGGGGAACGUGCAUACUAAUGCUCUUGACAGUAUUUUCGUAACGGAGGAAUUUGGAAACAAGCCUUGAUGGUCAUCAACUUGAAACCAGACUGCUUCUCCAGACUUUGGCCCCAUGAAUAAAGUGCAGCUACAUGUAUCAACAUGAUUAAAUAUCAAAAAUACAAUUCCGAGUGAAGAAAAGUACGUCUCAGAGAUACAGAAAUCAGUUAUCCAGACCUAUCUGUUAGGUCACCAUCAGUUACUGAGCCCAAGUCCUCGCGUGAAACUCAGCCCAGCAAGAACUCAAAAUCAUUUUCAUUCACAUAAAGUCACUAACGGUGUUAAAACUCUCAUACUACCUUCAAAAGAAACACGUGGCCGGUGUUGAUAGCGGAAAUGUAACAGAAAGCUGAAUAAUGAGUUUGGUAAGUCUUCCUCCCUCCUGAGGUUCUAGUCCCGUAUCAGGUGGUUCUAGUCUGGUAUCUGUCAUGAGGUGCCCCGUGCGUCCUGGAAUGACAUUUGCCUUUUACAUGUAGUCCUGACUUGUGUUUUCAAAUUCAGGUUUUGCCUUCUGUGUGUGUGUGUGUGUGUGUGUGUAUGUGUGUGCGUGCGUGUGUGUUAAUGAUUAGACCUGGCAUGUCUAUCAGAACUGAAGGUCACAGUGGAAAUGGGAUUUGGCGUCUGAGAUGGAGAAAAAUGCUGUUAUGACUUAAGAAUUCCUCCUUUCUGGAAUGUGAAUGCACAUGCAUGAAACGUAGCGCCUCCCUCUGAGAGUCUCCUCGCUGAGACGGUCUGACCUUCACAAAUGGAAGAAAGGCCCCUUUUCUCGAAGCUGCUGCUUUAUUUGGCCCCAGAUGUGCCCUCACAUGAACCCAAAAUAUCUACCGUAAACAGGAAGCUGUGCAACUCGGGGGGGAGGGCAGUGAGUUUGGGCACAAGGCAGACCUGGGGCUGACCCCUCCCCCCACCACACGCCUCUCUGGCCACGGACCAUCUUUGAGCUGUGGUGAGGACAGAACGGCCUGGUGUCCCUGACAGCUCUGUGAGGAAUUUGCAGAGCAGGAAGGGCUGCGAGCAGUGGUCAAGCGUGUGGUGGGCGGUCGAGUGGUCUGGCAACGCCACUUACUACGUACAGAGUGUCCUGUGCCUCUGCCGAUUCAUCUGGAAAAUGGGGCUACUAUUGGAAGCUUCUUCGCGGACUGUUUCCCACACCAUGCCCGCCAUGUGGUGAGGCCUCAAAUGAAUGUUAGCUACUUUUAAAGCUUCUUGGCCAAGGAGCCUGGAAGGAAGAGGGAGAAAGGGUGAUAUCCAGGAGGCAGAUCGGCUGGAAAAGUCUGACCACACUGGUUCCAACCACAUCUCUUACUCUGGGAAACCAGAGGCUGUCGAUGAGGAGGACGAGGGGCCGCGGAGUCUCCGACCCUCUUCCUCUGCUCACCUCCCCCGCCCCACGUCCAUCCUCUGGGAUUACAGGUAGAAGCUCUCAGGGCACGAAGAUUUUGUGCCUGUUCCUGACAGAGAUACAGUGGGACUGAGGUGUUGGAGGGUGGGGAGGGGACAAGAUCAUGACCGUUAAAAUUUGAACACGUUGUUCCAGCCUGUUAGUCGUGGAAAUGUCUAUUAUUUUUAUUAUUUAGCAUGCUGUAGAACAAUUGUUAGCUUUCCCUCCGUGUGGGACUACACGCUGCCUCUCCCCAAAUCCCCGCGGCCCCGGGCCAGCCAGGGCUCCCCGCUCUCCCUCAAGCUGCCCCUUUGGCGGCCAUUUGCCAGGGCUCCGCUUGACUUCAUGUGUCUUUUUUCCAAAAGCUGUUUCGAUUAACCCACAUUUACAAUAGGAAAUAAUAUUAGUCUCAUAACCAGAGGGUAUGGAGCCCUCGUUAUGUAGAAACAAACCUUGAGCUUCAAAUAUUUCUGCUGGUGAAACGUCUCACGUAAAACUUUUAUUGCAGUGGAUGUUAUGGGGGAGACAUUUUAAAUAGUAAAAACCAAUAUGCUGUGUUCCUGGAUUAUUUUAGUUAACAACAACGAAACUAGUCUAAAUGCACUACCUACAAAUUGAAUAAAACAGAAGCAGUCGACUUAUAAGAUUCGUAUUACAUAGCCUACAAUUGCAACACAUUAAACUAACAAGUGUCGCCUACCGUGUUUCUACAGAGCUGUGUCACGUAUGAUCCCUGGAUAAAAUAAUACUAAAAGACAAAAUAAAAAUUUUUUUGGUGAGAGAGAGAGGGAAAAAAAACCCAUCUUGCUGUUAUUCUGGGAUCUGCCAGUAAGCUCAGUGGGAGGCAGACCAACGAGGAAAGUGACCCCCUUCGGUUUCCAGGUUAUGCGACCCAAGAGCUCGUCCAGUGGUGGUCUUGGGGAGUUUCUUAUUGCCAGGGAGGCUAGCGUUGGGCAAAGCAAAGACCCUUGGUGGGGAGGACUCUUGGGGAACGUUGUCUGGGCUUUCAAGUUUUUUAUUUAUUUGAAAUGUUUAUUU
Molecule: long non-coding RNA, 20969 nt
Organism: Acinonyx jubatus (cheetah)
Lineage: Eukaryota; Metazoa; Chordata; Mammalia; Carnivora; Felidae
Exons: 11
Source: RefSeq, a predicted model, not a curated record